Molecule: ribosomal RNA, 253 nt
Filed under: uncultured bacterium
Lineage: Bacteria
Description: partial 16S ribosomal RNA
Rfam family: Bacterial small subunit ribosomal RNA
Source: RNAcentral
UACAGAGGGUGCGAGCGUUGUCCGGAAUCACUGGGCGUAAAGGGCGCGUAGGUGGCACGACAAGUCAGUGGUGAAAGCUCGACGCUCAACGUCGAGUCGGCCACUGAUACUGUCGAGCUGGAGCACUGUAGAGGCUAAUGGAAUUCCGGGUGUAGCGGUGGAAUGCGUAGAGAUCCGGAAGAACACCGGUGGCGAAGGCGGUUAGCUGGGCAGUUGCUGACACUGAGGCGCGACAGCGUGGGGAGCAAACAGG